GGGUCCCGCCGGCCACGUGGCAGCUCUGCGUUGGGGAGUGUGUCCCCGCACGGCGCCAGGCAGAGCCUGGACAAGCCCAAAAGGCAGCGCUGACACCUGCGCUGUUGGCACCCGGGCGGUGCUAUGUAAGGUGCUGUGAGGGCAGCCCCCGCUACCACAAGCGAAGCCGUCGGCUGCUGCAUUUGGGCGUGCAGAGCACGGGCUGCCCGCGUCCCGGGGACGAUGACUUUGCCAGCGGAGCAGCGCUGUCCUCUGCCUGCGCAGCCCCUGUGCAGGGGCGGCUGCGCCUGCCCUCUCUGCGACGGUGCCGCCUUUGCGAGCAACGGGCACGAGCUCAGAAGGACCGCCAAGGAGCCUGCAUUGUUGCCUGCCGCAGGUGGCUGGAAGAUGGGACACGGCUCUUGCAGCGCUUUGCGCCGACGUCCUCCCCGAAGGCAGGUGCAGGAAGGUGCUUCUUGCUAGCAGGAAAGAGGCGCCCCGGCGCUGCACUCGUGCUGGUUUGAGCCCACGUCUGCUGCGAACGCUGGCGAGUGUCUGGUCGAUUAAAGGAACGGGCCCGUGGCUCUCAGGUGGUAGAACAGUAAGGCAAAAUAGUGUUGACCAAGUGAGGUGACGGCUCUGGUUCUGAGCUUCCCUUUCUUCCACAGUAAUGAAAUCCUUGUUUGUAUGUAUGGAAUUACACACACACAUGUCACUUGCAUGGAGAUGUCUGUGCUUCAGUGCGAGUUCCUCUGCCACAUCUGAGGCAUUUUAAAGCAAAGGCAGCACUCAGUGGCAACAGAUGUAUCACAAUGAACUUCAGAAAGACUGGAAAAUCUGUUCAAAUAAUUCCUUCUAAUCUGCAUUACAUUAUCAUUAUAUAUAUUUGAUUUUCAUUGUUCUUAUGGUGGUGUUUAGUAUCCAGAUUAGACCAGGACCUAAUGGAUCUGAAGAGGGAAAGACCUUUUCCCGAAGAGUUUACCAUUUCUGUGGAAGAUCAACAGGUGGUUGUAAUGUAUUGAACA
Molecule: long non-coding RNA, 1004 nt
Organism: Nothoprocta perdicaria
Lineage: Eukaryota; Metazoa; Chordata; Aves; Tinamiformes; Tinamidae
Exons: 3
Source: RefSeq, a predicted model, not a curated record